Phrynosoma platyrhinos (Desert horned lizard) is the source of this 74-nucleotide non-coding RNA. Lineage: Eukaryota; Metazoa; Chordata; Lepidosauria; Squamata; Phrynosomatidae. The record is from the annotation of a GenBank genome assembly.
GGCCAGCGUGGUGUAAUGGAUUGAGUGUUGGACUGGGACACUGGGAGGCCUGGGUUCAAAUCCCAGCUUGGCCA